Long non-coding RNA from Hydra vulgaris (swiftwater hydra), 1958 nucleotides. RefSeq lists it as uncharacterized. Lineage: Eukaryota; Metazoa; Cnidaria; Hydrozoa; Anthoathecata; Hydridae. The record is from RefSeq and is a predicted model, not a curated record.
AAAAAAAAAAAGUUGUUUGAAAUAAAAUGUGGUCAUAUUUGUAAUCCGUGUAUUUGGAGGAUGAAGAGUGUAAAAGGGAAAAAAAAUUCUAGGAUCAAAUGACCGUAAUAAUAAAAUGGUUUAAAGAACGGACUUUUACUUAAUCUUUUUUUUUUUAAUAAGAGUAUGACGGAGAUCAAUUUAACAUUGUUUAACUCCUUUCUGUAAAUUUACUUUAUAAAAGACUCUGUUAAAAAAAUGCUGUCAAAUGAGGUAUCUUGUUUAAAACUACUAUCAAUUUUCAAACUUAAUCAAAAAAGAACUAGAUGCUCAAAAAAUAUAGUAGGAUAUGGCGGAGUGUUUAGAGCAAUAUUCACUAAAUAUAACAGAUCAGUACGUCUGAUUUACAUUUUUCAACAGUAGAAAGUUAAUUUAAUUUGCCGAUAGACGAUAUUACUUAUGGUCUACCAAACUGCUCAAUCCACCCCAACAGUAAAGCAAGUGUGUGGGGGCAGUUUGAACAAUGCACGAACAAAUGUAUAUGCAUUAAGUGAGACUAGUUUUCUGUCAUCCGUAUUUUUAGCAAGUUUUUAAAUUAUCACAAUGUGGAGAAGCUACGUUUAGCAUUGACAACACUUACAGGAAAUGACUUAAUAAUUUGAAAAAACUUAUGAAUGAUUGAAUAUUUCAACAGUAAAAAUAAAUCAAAAACAAUAGAAAGAUCAGUAGGCAGUGAUGUGAUUCCUCCAUCGUUCUUUAUCCUUAUGCAUUUGCGCUGCCAUAGUUUAACUUUCGAUGUAAAUUCAGGUACAGGAAAAUUUGUUCAUGGCCAACACCAGCACAUCAAGAACAAGAGUAUAAAUUGAUCGCCCGUAAUACUUUUAUGUUGUUUUUAAAGGUAUACAUUGACUGUAAAACUACCAUCUUUUUUAUUUAUUGUUUUUUCUGCUGUUCUAAAAACUUCCUUAAACACUUCUAUAUAGUUUUCACUUUUUUGUUUUAAAGUGAAAACACUUCUUCGUAGGUUUCACUUUAAAACAAAUAACCUUAUUUUUAAUUAUCUUUUUUGCGAUAUUUUACUUUUUGUAAACCUCAACUUUUUUUGAAACAACUGACUGAGCCCAUUUGUUAGAGAAGCUGUGCAGCACAGCUUAAAGACACAAUAAAAUCAUUUUCUCUAAUUUACAAUAAUAAAACUCUUCCUUUUAAGGAAGAUGUUCUGUCAUUUAGUUUAGAUAUACUUUCCAGUGCAUCAAUUGUUUAUGAAACCUCAUCAUUAAACGUUCAUGUCUCUCAACUCAUCGUGUUUUUUAGAGUGAAAGCAGUUGCGGAUUAUCAUUUAUAAUAAAAUAUAAUUUUGCAGAAGAAUUGAAAAAACCAAAAACUUUUGCCAAUAACACCUAAAUAAUUAUGAAUUUGAAAAUGAUCUAAAAAGUUAUAUAAAUAAUGGGUUUGCUGAAAAAAUCUAAAAAUCUCCCACCCUGCCCUUACUUGAUGAUCUGGAUCCGUCCCUGCUCCAAGCCAUCUUUAUCCAUUUGAUUUUUUGUCAUGCAUUGCGUAGUUUAUAAGAUAACUAACUUGCUAAAUUUGCCCUUAUGCUCAACUAGCCCUUAAUGGAAUCUUUUUUUUUCUUUUUCUUUUUCUUUUAGGUGUCCCAAGAAGACCUAACGAUCUUGUCACAGAGCACUGCGGAAGAGCAUUUAACUAGAAGAUUUACACCUCCUUGUUUACCAAUGGAACGAAAUAUGCCCAGUGCUUAUAAAACAAGCGCUCUAAUCACUGUGCCUCGGUCGCUCUAAUCUGUUUUUCCAUAUAAAGAAAAGUUCUCCUAAAAUCUAAUAAGUUAAACGCUCUAACCACAGCAGAGACUAUUUUUAGUCAUAUGGUUAUACUUCAAUUUAUUUUUGAAUAGAAUAAUGCAUAUCACAGUAACAAUAUUUAUUUUAUCAUUUUGUCAAAUAUGAAUAUUCUUAAACUGA